GAUGAACGCUGGCGGCGUGCCUAAUACAUGCAAGUCGAGCGAACAGACGAGGAGCUUGCUCCUCUGACGUUAGCGGCGGACGGGUGAGUAACACGUGGAUAACCUACCUAUAAGACUGGGAUAACUUCGGGAAACCGGAGCUAAUACCGGAUAACAUGUUGAACCGCAUGGUUCAACAGUGAAAGACGGUCUUGCUGUCACUUAUAGAUGGAUCCGCGCCGCAUUAGCUAGUUGGUAAGGUAACGGCUUACCAAGGCAACGAUGCGUAGCCGACCUGAGAGGGUGAUCGGCCACACUGGAACUGAGACACGGUCCAGACUCCUACGGGAGGCAGCAGUAGGGAAUCUUCCGCAAUGGGCGAAAGCCUGACGGAGCAACGCCGCGUGAGUGAAGAAGGUCUUCGGAUCGUAAAACUCUGUUAUUAGGGAAGAACAAAUGCGUAAGUAACUAUGCACGUCUUGACGGUACCUAAUCAGAAAGCCACGGCUAACUACGGG
RNAcentral lists this ribosomal RNA (497 nucleotides) under uncultured bacterium. RNAcentral's name for it is "partial 16S ribosomal RNA". It matches the Rfam family "Bacterial small subunit ribosomal RNA", at positions 28 to 507 of the family's 1533-position model. The record is from RNAcentral.